UGUUGGUGUAGUUCAAUAGUUUCCGUGUGCAGUCGGAUCAGAUAUUGGGCCAACCGGUAUCACGAUAUAUCCUGAACCGGCCAAAGGUGAAAUACACACGAUCACGCCUAUGAAUUGAAAAUGGGAAGAUCCCGUGAAUCGAGCCAAGGACAAUGAAUUUUAGACAGGGGCUUUUGACUUUUCGUUUCAUUUCCGAGUAAACUGACAAAGGGCGUUCAACAAAGUGCUUCCUGAUGAAAGACACAACUGAGGACAUCAGUUCUCCUUGAAUACGAUCAUUGGGUCGAAGAUCUGGUUUAGAUCAACCGCAUCAAACCUUUAUAAACCUAAAUCUGCUUAAGGGAGAAAUAUUUUGCCACGUAACCCCGGAACCAGGUUUCUUCAAGGGUGCAGUUAUACGAAGAUCGCACUGUUUAAAAUAAGAGCCAGCUGGCCUUCGGAUCCCAGAAGGGAGCAGGUGAUGCUAUACCAUGCCACGUGUCUGUGUACGAGACCCCCUUUGUUUGCUUUUAGCGGUAGAAUAUGUUAGACUCAUACGUGUUCUGCCUACCGCAGCGACGGCAACACCAUUAAGGAAGCCCCACACCGUCGAUUUCUACCUGCAUCACACUAAAAAAACAAGAUUUUGAUGACCCUAAUAAUGUACAAACAUAAAAGGAAGAAAGGACGAACGUUCGGGCAAUUCGAUUGUUACUGCAGCACCCAAAUUGAUAACACAAAUAUGAGACGAGUAUACUAUAAGCAAUUGAUUGGCCUAUUUUACCCACAUUUUAAACAUCGUCCAAUUUAGAGUCGAUAUAGAUUUUUUGUAUGUAACAAGGAUAUAAGCAGAGUACUGCAAGACUUCCAUUUUACAAAUUUACCUUCUCUCAUCCUUUAUAACGAAUGAUCAAAUUAUGCGAUUUCAUUUAGAAAACUACAUAAUUAAGCUAUGGGUGAAAGAGCUCAGUGUCAAUAAAGAAUAUAAAAUGCUUCCUAUUUUGGCUUGCCCUUAAAUCUACGUUGAUAGAAUUUUUGAACAUUCUCUUUCAAGGAUUUUUUUUAAUAAUCGGUUCUUUACAAGGAAGAGGAUUUGUACACACAUCGACAAGUUUAACUAGAGUAACCGACAAAUCGUAAAGAACUAAAGUUCACCAGAUGUUUUGGACACUAAGUUCUAAGUAUUCUAAGAUGGCUACAUACAGUGGUAUUUGUAGCUCCAACUUUGGCUGAUAAUACGCGAAUGAUAGCAAUCUAAUUCGGGCUUACACUGUAGAAUAAUUCAGCACUAUCACCAUCCUAUAGAAUCAAACAAAUCCUAUAGCAGAUACUCCCUAACACUUGCAAUUUAAGGACUGCUACAGCUAUCAAUAGGGAGAUUUUGCAUAACGGUAACUAUAAAUUGAUUGAAAUGAGCACACUCAGAUUUAACGAAAUGAUAUCUGGAAUAGCAUUUAUAACAUCCGUGAACGGUGCAUUUGUUCACAUGCUUGUAAGACACAACUAUAACCUGAACUACAACAAACUCCCCUGGAAACUUAGACAAAAUCCGCUACAAAAUCUUCAAAUAGCGUCAAUGCUGUUGACUACGCAUAACGGUGAUGAUGAAAUAGUGGAAACGUUAUGCAGUUUCUCUAUUGUUUGUCAAAAUUGGAUUAUUCUCAAUCUCACCUGCAGAGGUCACAACAACCCACAAUACAAUCUUGAAAAUACGCUGCGCUACAGUUUGUACUCGACUCGGCGUUCCAUUAGAACCUCAAAAUAUCUACUAUUACCAUCAUAAUAAAAGAGGCCUAUGAGAAACUCCCAUAGCAACGAUAACCACCGCAACACCCUCAUGAGGCAUGCAGCUGGAACAGACCACCACGACGCAACGCCAGAAGGCUUACGCCCACAAGACUCUCUGUAUAAAUAAUAUCGAAGGGUGAGCAGCAUUCAGCUGUUAAUUAGUAUAAAUGAACUGCUUGUUUAACCACGUGUAUGUGUAUAUAAUUCUACAGGCACAGCCAUUGGGUUGGAACGCAAAUGCAAAUAUCAUAUUAAUUAAGCAUAAUUAGAUUUCCGUAAAUAAUGAAAUUAUUUUGUUUAUAUUAACAAAAAAUUAACUUUAAAAUUAACAUAAA
RNAcentral lists this long non-coding RNA (2102 nucleotides) under Cimex lectularius (bed bug). Its description in RNAcentral is "uncharacterized LOC106667890". The record is from RNAcentral. Lineage: Eukaryota; Metazoa; Arthropoda; Insecta; Hemiptera; Cimicidae.